UUUUUUUUUUUUUUGACAGGCUCUCAGUGUCACCAAGGCUGGAAUGCAGUGGCGCAACCACAGCUCACUGCAGCCUUGAUCUCCAGGGCUCAAGUGAUCCUCCCACCUCAGCCUCCUAAGUGGCUGGGACUACAAGCAUGCACCCCCAUGCCUAACUAAUUUUUUAACUUUUUUUUUUUUUUUUUUUUUUUUUUUGAGACGGAGUCUCGCUCUGUCACCCAGGCUGGAGUGCAGUGGCCGGAUCUCAGCUCACUGCAAGCUCCGCCUCCCGGGUUUACGCCAUUCUCCGGCCUCAGCCUCCCGAGUAGCUGGGACUACAGGCGCCCGCCACCUCGCUUCGUUUUUUUUUUUUGUAUUUCUUAAUAGAGACGGGGUUUCACCGUGUUAGCCAGGAUGGUCUCGAUCUCCUGACCUCGUGAUCCGCCCGUCUCGGCCUCCCAAAGUGCUGGGAUUACAGGCUUGAGCCACCGCGCACGGCCAAUUUUUUAACUUUUUAUAGACAUGGAGGCGGCAGGUGUCUCACUAUGUUGCCCAGGCUGGUCUCCAAUUCCCAGACUCAAGCAAUUCUCCCACCUCAGCCUCCCAAAGUCCUGGGAUAUGGGUAUGAGCCACUGCCCAGCCAGGAAUCAAAUUAGUCUGUGAAUGUGAAAAAUAAGAAGACAGAGAAAUAUAGACAGAGCUGGGGUCCCAGAGCCUAGGCUGGGGUCCAGACCCCUGGCACCCUUCCUGAACCACAGGCACAGCUCCUCCCCAAUUUCCUCAUCUGCAAAACAGGGAAAACACAACCCCUCCCCUGCCUUGUCUCAUGAUUGCUGCCAGCGGACUCCAAAUGGGAACAGGUGUGUGAAGGUGCAACUGUAAAGUACUUGAAAACUCAAGCAGCUCUUAUCUGAGACGUGCCUGCAUCCAUCCAUUUUAAAUACAGCUAUUAGAGCAAUCGCUAUGCAAGACGGUGUGUGUCAGAUGGAGCUUUCAACAUGGGGCAGAGGCAGGCCCUCUCGAAGCCCUCCAGAACCUUGAUCUCCUACCAAGAAGGGAAUGGGCUGGGGCGGGGGGGGGGCGGUUCUGCCAUCAGUAUUUAAUCCUAAAUCCAUCUAUUUUGGUCAUGUCUACCACUUCCUUCUUCCUUGAACCAGUCAGAUGGGGGGAUACAUAUACAUAUCCCCUGCCCCUAAGGGCCCCUCAGCUGAUGGGGGACAACCAGCCUCAGGUCUCAGGACCCUCCCCACUCAGCAUCCCACCCUCCCAGUUCUGCAGACAGACCCCAGGCAUAGGGAGACACAGCAGCUGUGUGUUGUAGGGUGAGGGCUGAUGAGAGGAGGGAGUGGGCUGGAACCUGCUCUCCACCCACCCACUCACCUCUGGGUUUCUUUGAGCCUCAUUUUUGAGGCUGCCGCCCUGCAGGCUACCUGGGAAUGGGUAGGUCCCUGACUCCCCUGGAGGCCCCAUCCUCCUGAUCUUGCCUACUACAGCCUUUUAGCCCAGCGUCUGGGGCUGAAUGCAGGGAUGACACAGUGGUUCUUCCCACUGUAGUCCUCCCUGCCCCCACUUUGCCCUCCUCCUUGCCACUGAAGAGGCUGGGAUGAUGUUGGAGAGGAGACCAGUGUGGCAGGCCAGGCUAUGAUUUCCAGAAUUUGGCAGGGAGGAAGUGGGUCCACGGGGGACGUGAUCCAGGUUGAAGACAGUAGGGGCCCAGCUGGCCCCUCUCUCCCUGCCCCUGAAUGACGAGGACCCUGCUUCCUCUUCCAAGCUGAGUGAUCUCUCCAAGGAGGGGCACAGAGGAGGGAAAUCCCUGCACAUGCUCUCUGGGCUGCUGAUGGGGGAGUCCCCCAGUAAUGGGAGUGGAAGAUGGAGGCAGAAAGAGAGAGCAGACUAAGCGGGGAAUCUCACGAGGCCUUGGUUCCAGGGUCCUGGAGAGGCCUCAAAUACUGGUCAAAACUGGGCGUGGUGGCUCACACCUGUAAUCCCAGCAC
This 1973-nucleotide long non-coding RNA is filed under the name Macaca fascicularis (crab-eating macaque). RNAcentral describes it as "lncRNA (ENSMFAG00000062880.1)". The record is from RNAcentral. Lineage: Eukaryota; Metazoa; Chordata; Mammalia; Primates; Cercopithecidae.